This 144-nucleotide ribosomal RNA is filed under the name Triticum aestivum (bread wheat). RNAcentral describes it as "partial small subunit ribosomal RNA". The record is from RNAcentral. Lineage: Eukaryota; Viridiplantae; Streptophyta; Magnoliopsida; Poales; Poaceae.
AUGACAUUUAGAGGAAGAAGUCAGUUCAAGAGGGCACUCGUGAAGUAUGGCCUGGCUAUGAAGAGGCAUAUUUGCUUUGUAAAAGAUGAGGCUGGUAGGAUUAGGGCAAAAUGUUCUUGGCCUAAGUGUCCUUGGUUGAUUUAU